RNAcentral lists this ribosomal RNA (208 nucleotides) under uncultured bacterium. Its description in RNAcentral is "partial 16S ribosomal RNA". It matches the Rfam family "Bacterial small subunit ribosomal RNA", at positions 524 to 732 of the family's 1533-position model. The record is from RNAcentral.
UACGGAGGGUGCGAGCGUUUGUCCGGAAUCACUGGGCGUAAAGGGCGCGUAGGCGGCCCGGCAAGUCAACGGUGAAAGCUUGGGGCUCAACCCCGAGUCGGCCGUCGAUACUUCCGGGCUGGAGCACUGUAGAGGCAGGUGGAAUUCCGGUGUAGCGGUGGAAUGCGUAGAGAUCCGGAAGAACACCGGUGGCGAAGGCGGCCGCUGG